This 90-nucleotide transfer RNA is filed under the name Camelus ferus (Wild Bactrian camel). It matches the Rfam family "tRNA". Rfam says of the family: Transfer RNA (tRNA) molecules are approximately 80 nucleotides in length. The record is from Rfam by way of RNAcentral. Lineage: Eukaryota; Metazoa; Chordata; Mammalia; Artiodactyla; Camelidae.
CCUUCGAUAGCUCAGUUGGUAGAGCGGAGGACUGUAGUGUACUAAAUGUUGGCAAUCCUUAGGUCGCUGGUUCGAUUCCGGCUCGAAGGA